GAAAAAUUUCUUUUCUUAUAGCUGUAGGAUUGAUGGCAAUGUGCUUCUUCAAAGCUAGCAAGGGAUAGAGAGAGGGACCCCAGUAGGACUGUUGCUAUACUUUUAUGUAUCACAUACAAGUAAUCUAAAUCCCAUUGCCUUUGGCACAUUCAUUUCACUUAAGCAAGCCAUAGGUCUUGCUCACACUCAAGAGGAGAGGAUUAUAUAAUGGCAUUAAUCCCAGGAAGUGGGAAUCAUAUGAGAAAUUUUUUCUCUCUGGCCUGGAGACUGAUAAUUUUAAAUAGAGUUUAACAAUCUGAACAUAUAGAUAAAUUCCCAAGAUUCUAGGUGAACAGGCAAUUGCCAGAAUAUGUCGUCUGCUACUUUCUCCGUCUUACAAAAUAUCAAAUAUGGAGGACUCCACACAAACCUCCUAUAACUUAUCAAUUACAUUUUAUUUAGUCCUAUAUAAGUUUCAAAAUUUCUAAAAUUACUCAAAGCAAAGAUACAAACCUAUGAGUCAGAUCUUACCCAUGAUGUGAAGUGAGACCUUUAUGAAAAAUCUGUGUAGUGGUAAGCAGGUGAGAGAAUUUUCUAUUUGUCCUAUUUUCCUUUUCCAAUAUCAAUUACAAAUAUGUACCUAGU
RNAcentral lists this long non-coding RNA (624 nucleotides) under Homo sapiens (human). RNAcentral describes it as "long non-coding RNA NONHSAT187653". Lineage: Eukaryota; Metazoa; Chordata; Mammalia; Primates; Hominidae. The record is from RNAcentral.